GUGCGAAAACCAAGAAUAAUGCUUAUUUGGGCCCCUUUUUGGCCCCUUAUUCCUCAACUGUUGGGACCAAAACUCCCAAAAUCAAUCCCAACCUUCCUUUUGUGGUCAUAAACCUUGUGUUAAAAUUUCAUAGAUUUCUAUUCACUUUUUCUAAAGUUAGAGUGCGAAAACUAAAAGUAUUCGGACGACGACGACGACAACGACGACGACGCAGACGACGACGCCAACAUGAUACCAAUAUACGACCAAAAAAUUUUCAAUUUUUGAGGUCGUAUAAAAAUG
RNAcentral lists this long non-coding RNA (282 nucleotides) under Mytilus galloprovincialis (Mediterranean mussel). The record is from RNAcentral. Lineage: Eukaryota; Metazoa; Mollusca; Bivalvia; Mytilida; Mytilidae.